CAAUGCGAAGCGAAGCAGUGAUGUGAAGCAAAUCGCACCAAAGCCAGUCCCAGUUCGGAUAAGAGGCUGAAACUCGCCUCUUUGAAGUCGGAAUCGCUAGUAAUCGCAGAUCAGCAUGUUGCGGUGAAUACGUUCCCGGGUCUUGUACACACCGCCCGUCAAACCAUGAGAGUCACCAACACCCGAAGUCCGCCUUGGCGGCCUAAGGUGGGGGAGAUGAUUGGGGUUAAGUCGUAACAAGGUAGC
This 246-nucleotide ribosomal RNA is filed under the name uncultured bacterium. RNAcentral describes it as "partial 16S ribosomal RNA". It matches the Rfam family "Bacterial small subunit ribosomal RNA", at positions 1240 to 1500 of the family's 1533-position model. The record is from RNAcentral.